AACGAACGCUGGCGGCAUGCCUAACACAUGCCAGUCGAACGAGACCUUCGGGUCUAGUGGCGCACGGGUGCGUAACGCGUGGGAACCUGCCCUUAGGUUCGGAAUAACUCCCCGAAAGGGGUGCUAAUACCGGAUAAUGUCUUCGGACCAAAGAUUUAUCGCCUUUGGAUGGGCCCGCGUUGGAUUAGCUAGUUGGUAGGGUAAAAGCCUACCAAGGCGACGAUCCAUAGCUGGUCUGAGAGGAUGAUCAGCCACACUGGGACUGAGACACGGCCCAGACUUCUACGGGAGGCAGCAGUGGGGAAUAUUGGACAAUGGGCGAAAGCCUGAUCCAGCAAUGCCGCGUGAGUGAUGAAGGCCUUAGGGUUGUAAAGCUCUUUUACCCGGGAUGAUAAUGACAGUACCGGGAGAAUAAGCUCCGGCUAACUCCGUG
This 433-nucleotide ribosomal RNA is filed under the name uncultured bacterium. Its description in RNAcentral is "partial 16S ribosomal RNA". It matches the Rfam family "Bacterial small subunit ribosomal RNA", at positions 29 to 507 of the family's 1533-position model. The record is from RNAcentral.